ACGAGCUGGCGCACGGGCGCGUAACGCGUAUGCAACCUACCUUCAACUGGGAGAUAGCCCCUCGAAAGAGGGAUUAAUAUCCCAUAGUAAUAAGAAGAGGCAUCUCUUUUUGUUUAAAGCUCCGGCGGUUGAAGAUGGGCAUGCGUGACAUUAGCUAGUUGGUGAGGUAAAGGCUCACCAAGGCUACGAUGUCUAGGGGUUCUGAGAGGAUGAUCCCCCACACUGGUACUGAGACACGGACCAGACUCCUACGGGAGGCAGCAGUAAGGAAUAUUGGUCAAAGGACGCAAGUCUGAACCAGCCAUGUCGCGUGAAGGAUGACGGCCCUAUGGGUUGUAAACUUCUUUUGUACGGGAAUAAACCCGGGUACGUGUACCCGGCUGAAUGUACCGUA
This 394-nucleotide ribosomal RNA is filed under the name uncultured Bacteroidota bacterium. RNAcentral's name for it is "bacterial SSU rRNA". It matches the Rfam family "Bacterial small subunit ribosomal RNA", at positions 90 to 482 of the family's 1533-position model. The record is from RNAcentral. Lineage: Bacteria; Pseudomonadati; Bacteroidota.